UACGUAGAUCCCGAGCGUUGUCCGGAUUUAUUGGGCGUAAAGCGAGCGCAGGUGGUUUAUUAAGUCUGGUGUAAAAGGCAGUGGCUCAACCAUUGUAUGCAUUGGAAACUGGUAUACUUGAGUGCAGGAGAGGAGAGUGGAAUUCCAUGUGUAGCGGUGAAAUGCGUAGAUAUAUGGAGGAACACCGGUGGCGAAAGCGGCUCUCUGGCCUGUAACUGACACUGAGGCUCGAAAGCGUGGGGAGCAAACAGG
This 252-nucleotide ribosomal RNA is filed under the name uncultured bacterium. Its description in RNAcentral is "partial 16S ribosomal RNA". It matches the Rfam family "Bacterial small subunit ribosomal RNA", at positions 524 to 776 of the family's 1533-position model. The record is from RNAcentral.